RNAcentral lists this ribosomal RNA (482 nucleotides) under uncultured bacterium. Its description in RNAcentral is "partial 16S ribosomal RNA". It matches the Rfam family "Bacterial small subunit ribosomal RNA", at positions 30 to 507 of the family's 1533-position model. The record is from RNAcentral.
AUUGAACGCUGGCGGCAUGCUCUACACAUGCAAGUCGAACGGCAGUGCGGGGCAACCUGGCGGCGAGUGGCGAACGGGUGAGUAAUAUAUCGGAACGUACCCAGAAGUGGGGGAUAACGUAGCGAAAGUUACGCUAAUACCGCAUACGAUCUACGGAUGAAAGUAGGGGACCGCAAGGCCUUAUGCUUUUGGAGCGGCCGAUAUCUGAUUAGCUAGUUGGUGAGGUAAAGGCUCACCAAGGCGACGAUCAGUAGCUGGUCUGAGAGGACGACCAGCCACACUGGAACUGAGACACGGUCCAGACUCCUACGGGAGGCAGCAGUGGGGAAUUUUGGACAAUGGGCGCAAGCCUGAUCCAGCAAUGCCGCGUGAGUGAAGAAGGCCUUCGGGUUGUAAAGCUCUUUUGUCAGGGAAGAAACGGUAGAGGCUAAUAUCCUUUGCUAAUGACGGUACCUGAAGAAUAAGCACCGGCUAACUACGUG